This is a long non-coding RNA of Vespa velutina, 4202 nucleotides long. RefSeq lists it as uncharacterized. Lineage: Eukaryota; Metazoa; Arthropoda; Insecta; Hymenoptera; Vespidae. The record is from RefSeq and is a predicted model, not a curated record. The transcript is spliced from 2 exons.
GGUAGUAGUGGAGGGUGAACGUGGAGGGAGGACGGAAUGUUCGGAUUAUCGCGAGAACCCCGUUGGAAUCCGUGGCACCGCGGGGACGGAAAACGGGAGCGGAAAACGGGGGCGACAGAUAAGAACCGUAGCUGGUGUGUCACGUAGCGCUUUGAGUGUGAUGGUUGUUCUACUCCUACUCCUACUCCUAUCUCUUCUCUUUCUCUUUUCCCUCCACCCUCUUUACCCUCUCCCUCUCUCUCUCUCUCUUUCUCUUCUUCUUCUUCUUCAUCUCUUCCACCAAUUCUCUUGCACACGGACAUACUAACACCAAUGCCUAACUACGCAUCGACUCCAUCUAUUCGACACCCACGCUGCUCUUCCAACCCCUUACACCAAUCCUCCCCCGUUCAAUAUACGAGCCCCAUAGCCAAGAAUCGGAUCUUCGUCCUAGCAUUUCCGUCAAACGUCCUACCACCAUGUCUCUAACCCUUUUAAGUAUCGUCCUUCGCAAAAGGUACAGGUCUUCGACGUCGCUUCUUACGACGUUUCCCUUUCCUUGAUAAUAACGUCGUCUAUGCCAUAUCAUUUAACGAUUUACCAUUUUUAUCGUCUAGGAGAAGUGGUAAGAAAAGGAAGCGAGAAUUGUGUGUGUGUUUUUUUUAGAGAUAUCAAACGGAUGUAAGAGGAAGAAAAAAAAAGAAUAUGAAAGGAAAGAAAAGAAAAGAAAAAGAGAAAAAAAAAAAGAGAGAAAGGUUAUUAGUAGUUAGAUGCGAUUAAAAAGGACUCCUGAGAAAGUUGACUUUGAUUUUUGUCGUUACCGAAUCGAGAACGUCCUCUCGUACAUAGAAAAAUGAGUUAAAAAGGUUGGUAUAGCUCGAGCAUCGGUGCCGUAACUCAGUUUCGUUAACUUCGAGUUCGUGGGAAGAGCAAGGAAGCGCGCAAGGGUUAUGGCACUCGAGAUAGCAAGGCAAAGCGUGAGUGGAACGGGGAAAGCAAUCAGAACUUGGGCCAUUGCUGGAUAUUACGGAGACGUGAGAGAUGUCUCCUCAAUCAUAUUAAUUGCCUAGAUAACCGCUACUUCGACGUCGGCCACCGUCGCCAACUCCUUCUCCGAGAUGUCUCCUUUCGUCUCGCGAGUCUUAUGUACGCGUAAAAUUAUCUCUAAGAGUUCAUUUUAUAAAUUAUUUUUCUAAUGGCCGUGCCCAUUUCCCCGUUACGUCUAAAUUCACUCAUUGUUAAUACGUUACUAUGUUACGCUUUUGCAUCGGUGUCAACCGAAGGAAAUCACUUAUCCGGAAAUAUCGUUCAAUGUAAACGAAACGCGAUCCAAUGGGAAACAAUGGCUCUCGACGAAAUUUAUUAUCGCGUCAAAAGGACCCUCGUUAUUUCGCGAUACUAAAAUUACCUGGCACGCAUUACGCUAAUGCAAUCCCGUCUAUGUUACGCACGAAUGUGUGGAUUUGUCACGAUAUUUGUACGCGCACAUUAUUGCGAUGAUAUCGAUACCGGACGAUAAUUAUGUUUCACCGUGUUCCACGAACAAGAAAUUCGUACAUUCGCGAUAGAAAAUUUUCAUUAUUUCUGAACCAUAAAAUAGGAAUUAGCUUCCUAGUAGUAACAAGGCGUUCCCAUCAUUUUCGAAAGUCUUCGUAAGAAAAAUCACUGACGUAUGCAACAGGUAUUGCUUUCCACUUGUAAGCUUCUAUAACGACUCCUGCUGACUCUUCACGACUUUCUUGAGUGCCAUCAUCGCCCAGGAUUCGCGAUCUUGGCUGCUUCACCGACAAUUUUCUUUUCCAAGAUAUAACCGAAUGUACGCGCUGUGAAGGAAAAAAAAAAAAAAAGAAAAAAGAAAAAAAAAAGAAAAAAACAAAAAAAUGUACACGGACCGUGUUUUGCAGCAUCCCUUCUCUUUACGUAUAUGUAUACGUAUACGUGUCCCACGAGAUACGGUAAACCUAGAUUUAAUGAAUACGAAUCGCCAACAUCGACCAUAAUUCGUAUGCAUAACAAAAGCCAUACCUUUCCUGCUCCUUCACAUACUUAUGACCGUUUAUACCGUAUACUAAAUGUCGCUACGUGCCGACCAAAGUGCGACUCAGCGUAUAUAAAACGAACCGACCAAGUCUCCUCAAAACAGACGAGUUUACUUUGAGCCAUCCUGAUUCAGCUCAACUCGACGUAAUCUUAUACCAACAGAUACACGUCUGCCUAUGAUCAAAUCCGAAAAACGUUCGGAUUAGUUCACCUUUACAUAUACAUAUAUAUAACACACACACACAUAUAUAUAUAUAUAACAAAAAAGAAAAAGAAAAAAGAAAAACAAAAAGUCCUGUUUAAGUAACGGUCAACCAAGCGGAAUAUCAAAAAAUUUAGCCAAAGCUCGUAAAGUCCGUGCCGUCGAAAUAGCUCGUAUCGGUGGAUUCACGCGAGCAGAGCAAUAUCGAUCGUGCGCCAUCGUUCUCCAUAAAACGCAAGAUCGAAAUCAGAGAAUGGGGGAAGGCGGCUCUGCGGUGCAGUAAUGUCGCAAAAUAUUCGCGUUUUAUUAGGUCGAUCGACCGGGGAUAAUCGGCGACAAUCAAGUUUCACGGCAGUGAUUGGCCCGGCAUAGUCCGAUGCCAAAUGCAGCUGCAUAUGCAUGAUGCAAUCUCAUAUCCACAUCCGCGUCCCGCGUUAUGCCACUGUUCGAGCUACGCACAUGCCGAGGAGAAACAAGAGGAGAAGGGAAGAGACAGAGAAAGAGAGAGCAAGCGAGAGAACAAGAGAGAGAGAGAGAGAGAGAGAGAGAGAAUGAAUGAGGAAGAGGAAGAGAGGGUGAGUUGCAAUGGGCAACGAGAAUACGGUCGCCGUGUGGGUGGUAGUUUCGAUUCCCACCGCGGUGUGUCAUUACUCGUCAUUAUCCACCUAUCAAAUCGCUCAGCAAUAACUAUCUGACCGUUGCUGUUACGCACUCUCCCCUCUUCCUACGGAGCCUGGUCCACAUGAGCCUGGCUUACCGGCAAUCAAAGCGUCUCCAUUCCUGAACCACUCCCGGCUAGCCGCACUGGCAACCACUGUUCAAGGCUGAUCAUCGAAAUUCCACGUUCGCUGCCGGGACACCCGUUCGAAUACUCGUUGCACUACCACUAGAUGAUUGAUUUCUAUCACGCAUUAACGAUCGCCAACGUCUACGUGGUUGUUUGUUUCCCACCGGCAGCAAAAACGCGAAAGAACGCGCAUCGAUUUGUAGCGAAUUUCGAAUCGUACGAAUAUCGAUGAGGAAGAAAAUGGAUACUCCAUGAUAAAAAACGAGUACUGCCGAGAGAUUACUAUUUAUUUAUUAUAUCCGUAAUAAUUAUUUAAUUCUUUUAAUGCGAACGAGUGCACCGAUACAGCGGAUUAUUUUUCGGGCAUUAUCGGAAAUUGGCGGGCGAGGGUGUUUUUACAAUCGAUGACCAAACAAAAUACAAAUUACAGAAGUAUGUUCCGAGGAAUGGGCAAUUAAUUACAUAAUCCAAAAGUGGAAACAGCAUUGUACGAGAGAUUUUUCUUUUACCAUUAAACGUAUAAUUGUAAAAUUUUCAUUGUAACGUGCGUAUUUAUACCAGAAGUAGAUCUCUUCCAUUCUACUGGACAUAUCCCGAACAUGUGAGUGCACUGAUAUUUCAAAUUAUACAUUCUACGCGCGAUAGUUAUUCUCGUUUAAAAAUUUAAUGACAUUUGUCUGAAAGCAUCGCAUCGUGACGGACGGAACGAAGAAGUAUAGCUCUAUAUAUAUAUAUAAAACUCUCUAUACAUGUAUAUAUGUUUUAUAUAUAUAUAUAUAUAUAUAAAACGAAAGGACGAAAUAGAAAUGCGUCACAUUCCCCGUGUAACAUAAUACGAUUUAAUGAAUGAACGAAAGAAUCUUUAAUGUUGUUACAAAGGAUUCAAGAACCAGACGGCAAUACGCACGAGCGUUUUACAUUUCGCACAAGUGUAUAAAUUAACGCCCGAGCAACCAGUACAUUUUCGCGAAACGGUGGAAACACGAGAAAUUAAUACCGGCAACACGGUGACCACGCGGCACCGUACUUGAAAGCGGAACGUAACAACCGUAAAAACGUCUCGAUGAACGUUCACCAGCAGGCCGACCUUAACGAGAAAAAAAAAAAAAAAGAAAAAAAAUAACGAAAAAAAAAAGAAAAAAAGAAAAAGAAAUGGUUAAGUCGACAUUAUCUCGUCGUGAUACAAGAUGAAAC